This is a long non-coding RNA of Coturnix japonica (Japanese quail), 1528 nucleotides long. RefSeq lists it as uncharacterized. Lineage: Eukaryota; Metazoa; Chordata; Aves; Galliformes; Phasianidae. The record is from RefSeq and is a predicted model, not a curated record.
CCCAAUUGUAGCUCAAGCCUCCUCCUCCUAGUUACAUUCAGUUACCCAGUCCCUCAUAGCAACAGGCUGCCUAGCACUUCCUGGAAGGACAACAUAACAUUCCAUAUAUCACACUUGCAUGCUUUUUCCGUAAGCAUAAUGCUAUCUCCUGGCGUAAAAGCAUGGCUUUGGAACAUAUUCAAUUGAAUAGUCUUGUUAAUGUUAGUAGUUCCUUAGGACACCAGAAUUGAAAUCAGUGGAAAUUUUGGAGGUGUGAAGAACUACUCAGAAGAAGCAAGGAUUAUGCAGGUUACACCUCUACUUCUCUGAGUUUCUCUAUUUCCUGGUAGUACAUCUGUAUCAUUAUUUUCAUUAAAAUCUUCCUGAUUCUAAAAAUGUGUAGUCUAUUACAUAUUGCACUUAAUGUCGCCUUUUCAAGGGGAAAAAGGGAGAUCUUGUUUGUUGGUUUCUAUUUUUCUGAAGCUUUGUUGUUGCCCUUUCUUCAGACAUAUGUGAAUGUCUUAUUUCUAUGAUACACUCAGUUCUUUUCCAAUGCAUAUGGUUCUCAUGUGAUAAGUAUGGAACAAAAGAGAUUUGGUUACAUAGCUCGUCUUAUAGAGUAUGACACAUGAGUAUUAAUGAAACACGAUACUUAGAAUUAGAACUUGAGAAUGAGAGGUGGGGACUCCAGGAAGUUCAGAUGUGAAAAAGUUAUUCCUGUCUUGUCUCAUAUCAGGAUCUGGGUGUGGGAAGGAAUUGUUAGUCAUGGAUGGGUUUCAGGUUCUCUGAACAGACUGGGUAGAGAGAUGUAAACAAGGCUGCAAAACUAAGGGAGGAAUCCCACAGUUGCAGAAAACCAUGUGGCUGGUAAAGCUAUAAUCUUGCAAAGGGGGACAAGCAAUCACAGGGCUUGUACAAACAGCAUGUAGAUCCCUAAGGGAUCCUUAUUUAUCCUCCUGGAGAAGACGAGCAUCCUGUGCCUCGAGAGAUACUUGUGACCUGUGCUGGAGAACUGUGUCCCAAGAGCCCUAAUUUGACUUAAGCUGUGAAGAUGAAUAGAUACCUGAUGAAAGGGAUGAUUCAGUACAGCUUUUAUUAGCAUGCUAAUUUUGGCAGAAAUCAUCUGCCAAUUUUUGAAAAGCUGUCAAAGGCUGCUGUUUCAGUAUCUUGACAUUGAAAAUGCUUUGCUGGCUUCAGUCUUGUGAAUUCUUAAACCACCUGGGAAAGCCUUUGUUGACAUUUAAUGAUUUUAGUUUUCUAUAUAAUUUUUCAAAAUUUAGUUAUAUCUCUAUUAAAGACACUGAAAAAAAAACAACAACAAACAAUUUCAUACAGAGAAUGAGUGUGCAGAAAGAGCACCCUCUGAUCCACGCUACAAGGACUUAAUUAUUUCUCAGGUCGUUCAAGUUGCUGUGCUGACAUGCCAUAGAUGUGUGGGCAAUUUCACGGUAACAACUGCUUUGUCUCUUUCUGCUAUGUAAGAUUUUUUUCCCAUCAUGUUUAUUUUUUCAUCUACUUCUGCAGUUGGUCUGUCUUUUUCUUGUCCUUG